RNAcentral lists this ribosomal RNA (599 nucleotides) under uncultured bacterium. RNAcentral's name for it is "bacterial SSU rRNA". It matches the Rfam family "Bacterial small subunit ribosomal RNA", at positions 334 to 933 of the family's 1533-position model. The record is from RNAcentral.
GACUCCUACGGGAGGCAGCAGUGAGGAAUAUUGGACAAUGGAGGCAACUCUGAUCCAGCCAUGCCGCGUGCAGGAAGACUGCCCUAUGGGUUGUAAACUGCUUUUAUACGGGAAGAAACACCACUACGUGUAGUGGCUUGACGGUACCGUAAGAAUAAGGAUCGGCUAACUCCGUGCCAGCAGCCGCGGUAAUACGGAGGAUCCAAGCGUUAUCCGGAAUCAUUGGGUUUAAAGGGUCCGUAGGUGGAUAAUUAAGUCAGGGGUGAAAGUCUGCAGCUCAACUGUAGAAUUGCCUUUGAUACUGGUUAUCUUGAGUUAUUAUGAAGUAGUUAGAAUAUGUAGUGUAGCGGUGAAAUGCAUAGAUAUUACAUAGAAUACCAAUUGCGAAGGCAGAUUACUAAUAAUAUACUGACACUGAUGGACGAAAGCGUGGGGAGCGAACAGGAUUAGAUACCCUGGUAGUCCACGCCGUAAACGAUGGAUACUAGCUGUUCGGACUUCGGUCUGAGUGGCUAAGCGAAAGUGAUAAGUAUCCCACCUGGGGAGUACGUUCGCAAGAAUGAAACUCAAAGGAAUUGACGGGGGCCCGCACAAGAGAU